CCUGGUUGUAGCCGAGCCAAAUUG
RNAcentral lists this microRNA (24 nucleotides) under Ascaris suum (pig roundworm). RNAcentral describes it as "asu-miR-133-5p". Its record names the gene asu-miR-133-5p. The record is from miRBase by way of RNAcentral. Lineage: Eukaryota; Metazoa; Nematoda; Chromadorea; Rhabditida; Ascarididae.